Molecule: transfer RNA, 72 nt
Filed under: Serendipita indica DSM 11827
Lineage: Eukaryota; Fungi; Basidiomycota; Agaricomycetes; Sebacinales; Serendipitaceae
Description: Piriformospora indica DSM 11827 tRNA
Rfam family: tRNA
About the family: Transfer RNA (tRNA) molecules are approximately 80 nucleotides in length. Their secondary structure includes four short double-helical elements and three loops (D, anti-codon, and T loops). Further hydrogen bonds mediate the characteristic L-shaped molecular structure. tRNAs have two regions of fundamental functional importance: the anti-codon, which is responsible for specific mRNA codon recognition, and the 3' end, to which the tRNAs corresponding amino acid is attached (by aminoacyl-tRNA synthetases). tRNAs cope with the degeneracy of the genetic code in two manners: having more than one tRNA (with a specific anti-codon) for a particular amino acid; and 'wobble' base-pairing, i.e. permitting non-standard base-pairing at the 3rd anti-codon position.
Source: Rfam by way of RNAcentral
GUGAGUAUAGUUCAGUAGUUAGAAUCUUGUGUUUCCACCACAAUGGCCUCAGUGCGAAUCUGAGUACUCAUA